Molecule: long non-coding RNA, 465 nt
Organism: Erinaceus europaeus (western European hedgehog)
Lineage: Eukaryota; Metazoa; Chordata; Mammalia; Eulipotyphla; Erinaceidae
Exons: 3
Source: RefSeq, a predicted model, not a curated record
AGGGCUGCAAGGAAAUCUGGCGCGGUUCAAUACCUCGUCUAGCCUGGAUUCCAGUAUCUUUUUUUUUUUUUAAACUGACAAAUGCAUUUCUCCACCGGGACAGGAUGCUCUGUUGGCUGGAAGUUCCAUUUCUACAGCAAGAAUCCUAUCUGGAAACACAGAAGUUGUCCUCUAGCCACAGCAGCUCGAACUUUUUUGAUUGUUGUUGCUGCUUUCUCCCAUCACCCCCACCCCUUUUUGACAAAGAUCCAACUGUAAAAAGUCUUACGUAACAGUUCAGGACUACUUCGGUUCUUUUACAGGAUUCCACAAAUCUUCACUUCUGGACAAUUCAGAAGAGGACAGAGAAAUCGAGAGAUGGGGAAGACGGGAGAAAGAGACAUCUGCAGACCUGCUUCACCCCCUGCAGCUGGGGAGCUGGGGGCUCGAACCAAGAUCCUUAUGCUGGUCCUUGUGUUUUCCGGC